UAAAUUUUGGCUGUUACGCCCUUUUCAAAUGUUGGUCUAGAUUUAGUAACAUGUCAAUAACUAAUUUCAGAGGUUGAUUUUCGAAAUGUGUGGUUUGGUGAACUGCUCAACUUUGUCUGAUAUUACGUUCCUCAAAAUCUAAUAAUUACAGAGUUUUCUCCAAUAUCUCUUAAUAUACUAAAUGAUAACAACAAUUCAAUCAUUCACUAAAAGCUCUAGCAACUAGCGCUUCAACUCCGUAAUUAGUGCAAUUUAAAAAACGAACUUUUAGGCAGAUAAAACAAAUAGUGCUUAAAGUCUACAAUACAACACGUUUCGAAAGCCUCUCAAAUGAGUUAUUGACAUACUACUAAAUGAUCGAACUCGGAUUUAUUAAAUGAUCGAAACCAUCCUCGAUUUUAUAUUUUGUUUUGUAUUACCAACUAGUAGAACCCGCCCAAUUUUGCUCGGGUUUGUUUUUUUUGCGUUCAAACUGUCAAUAGAUGAGCUCAUUGCAGCACCACACUUUAGAUCGACAUCAGUGCAAGCAGACCGUUGCAUUUUAAUGAUUAUUCUGCUUUCCCAACAACAUUUUUCGAUUUUCCAUACAUAACACAGCUGAUCGCAAGACGAAUCGAUCAGUGAGGAAAUUUUGAAAAUAGGUCCAUUCGUUCGUGAGUUAUAAUGCCUCAAAUAAAAAGCAAACUCAUUUUUAUAUAUAGAGAAGAUUUGAAAUUUCAAUUAAUUUUUGUCUUAUCUUCCGUAAAAGUCUAUUUUUUUUCGGUAUAAAAAAGCGAAGGCCGCAAUGGAUAGGAGGCAAUUACCAGAGCAGCCCGGCAAUGGGGGCAGUUCCUUCAUCUGUGGUGCCACCUGAAAAGUCUCGAGAAAAAGUAGAAUCAAGGAAAUUUGACAUGGCAUAAUAUACAAAUCGGUGAUUAAAAUGCCUCUAGAAAGUUAUAUUUUUUUUGCAAAACAUAUAAAAAUCAAGAUAUCAUGCCCUUGUCAUAAGACGAGUUAAUACAAUCCCAUUGAAUUCCACCACUUAAUUGUAUCUUGACAGAUACGUAUUUCGACCUCAACAGUAAGGCCGUCUUCAGUGUCUCGUACUUGACUCGACCACACCGUGUGAAAUUCCAAUUAUUCUACUUUUUCUCUUGAUGACAGCUGUAUGAUUGUUGUAAAUUUGCACGAGUAAUUACUUAAAUUUCCCCACCAAAAAUCCUUCCAGUUUCCAUAAAAAAAUCUUCGUAAUUUCUGCAAGAAAGCCUUCGUAAUUUUAAUGAAAAUUUAUCCGAAGUUUUUACGAGAAAUUCACCGAAAUUUCCACUGGAAAUUCCCCGGAAAUUCAACGGAAAAUUAACAAUUCCUGGGAAUGUCCACAUGAAAUUUGAAUUUUAGAAAUUUCAUCAAGAAAUUGCUCAAAAUUUGCAAGGAUUUCGUUGGAAUCUAUUCUAAAAUUCCACGGAAAUAUUUCGGAAUGUUCACUAAAAUUUAAAAUCAGCUAGAACAAUUAUUCUUAAUUUUCACGCAAAUUCACUUGGAACAUUAAUUUGAAAACAUUUGGAAUUUUGAAGGAAAUUGUUUGGAUUUAAACGUAUGAUUAUACUUUUUCAAAAGUUCUAUGAAUUUUCAAUGGAAUAUUGCAUGGAAUUUUCAAGAAAAGAAUCAGAAUUUUCGCGGAAUACAUCAAUCAGUGAAUUCAACCAAAUUCCGGUGCAAAAAUGUCGGUGGCGCACAGCUCCAGGAGGAAUCGAAUACAACGGAAAUUCCAUUAGUUGGUUUCCAGAUCUGGUUUCAGCAGACCUGGAUAGAGGUUCAAAUUUGAUUUUGUUUUAUAUUGAUUUUUGUUGGAUUAUGUUAAGUUUGGUUUAGUUCUGUUGUACAAUAAUUCUAUAUUAAAAUGGGUUUGAAUCAUUGAAUUACUCAACACGUGAUUGAUUUCCAUUUUAUUUUGAUGGCAUAUGAUAUUUACUGACACUUGCAGCACACAUGUUGCAGAGAAGUUACAGUUACAACUUAUAUGCAACCAAAUUUGGUCACAUUUGAGUUCAUGCAACCAAAUAUAGUGGGUUAAGUCCACUCCGAGAAUCCCCAUAUAUUAGGCAACGGACAGCACAAUCAUUACCAUCUUGCGUCACAAAAGGCAACUAACGUCUGGAUAGCCAAGGGGUGUGAUAAUCGGAAAAGUUACAAUAGUGUAACAAUUUUUCAUAGUUUGAAUUACAUUUUUCAAAGUUAUAUUUUCAAGCUCAGAUGUCAAAAUGAACCCAUAUGAUGAUUUCUAGCACAUCAUUUAAACAUGUAAUACUGCAUAUUGCAUUAUACGUUUGGACACCCUCGACAUGUCUUUUCACUACACUGCUUGCCUUUUUUUGACACCGCGGCGCUACUGUGUUGUCUUUCGAAAUCAGCCAGAGUGGACUAUAUUGGCAAUAGAGUAUAUUUGAUGUGUAGUGCUACUCGGGUCAACUCCGAAGCCCCAUUACUGCAGGAGAUUGAAGCAGCCAUCCAAUGCAUGAAAUUCAACAAAACUCCAGGCGGGCGAUCGCAUAUCGGCAGAGAUGUUUAAAGCUUACCCCAUGUUAUCAACCAUGCUGAAAUAUCUGGGACACUGUGACUUUUCUGGCUGACUGCCUUAGUGAAGGUCCCAAAAAAGAGCAUCUAACUUUAUGCGUCAACUGGCAAUAAGGUGUAUCUUGUUACUGUGCAUUGUUCUCAAAAUUAAGUGAAAAGUUAUCCUAAAUCAGAUACAGGAUAAGAUAGAUACUUGUUUCCGAAAGCAACAGGCAGGAUUCCAUCCCGGAAGAUCGUGUGUGAAACAUGUGGUCACGCACCGUAUUAUCCUGGAGCAAGUCUAAUAAUUCCAAUAGUUCUUUUAUUUGGUAUUCCAUAACUAUACGGAAACACUUUCGAUCGCCUUGACCACGAAAAUCUGUGAAACCCCAUAGUUGUCCUCAUCGAAGCGCAGUACGAAGCUUUCACGUGCAGAGUCCUGAAUAACGGAGCUCUGACCUCAUCCAGAUAGUCGCUGGAAUGAGGCGAGGAUGUCAUUUAUCUCCUUUGCCUCAACGUAAUUAUGUUCCUUCUGUUUUUCAUCGUAGUUACGAAAGCAGCCUAUUACUAUAGAGCACCUGAACGACUUCGAUUAGCACAACAGCGUUCUGGUACGCGUAGUAAAGCUGAAUGACCUGGCCGACGUCUUUUUUAAGGCGGGUCUCACGAUCAACGGCAACAAGACCAAAUCGUUGGAUAUCAACACGAACCUCUCCUCUAACUUUACGAUAGUCUGAUAAGUAGUGGAGGCAUUCUCUUGGCAUCUUGUUAACGUUGGACGGUGGAGCCUAGAUUGACAUAUAAGUAUAAGAGUAACAAGGAUCAAAAAGGUUUUUGCGAGUUUACGAAAUAUGAGGAGAUUCAAUCAGAUUAGUCAAUGCACUAGAUUUCGAAUAUUUAACUUUAGCGUGAUAUCUGUGUUGCUAUACGCCAGCAAAAAUUGGUGUGUAUCAGUAGCGAUCACGCAGAAACUGCAGCUAUUCAUUAACCGAUGCCUACGUUUUACAAUGCAGGUCUGGUGGCCUCACAACUGGAUUUCCAAUGCUGAUCUUCAUAGACAAUGUUUUUCAAAAUCGAUAGCAACAGGAACUUGAGAGCGUAAAUGGAGGUGGGUCAGCCUACCAUUACGAAAUCUCCAAGCAAGCGCUGGACUAGGGUUCAUCAGGACACCAAAGCAGAUGCAGAUUUAGAGGGUCGUGGCGACAAAGCCUCAUCAAAAAAUUAAGGUAAAGUCAAUAGGAAUCUGAUCUAGGCUCAGGUUAAAGCAAAAGUAUGCAGCCGUCUAGGAUGGAGCAUUUUUACGUUGGCCCUAUGUACUCGUAGGAAUGCUCAGGACCCUUGAGUGAAUGAGUGAGUAUAUAAGAAGUUUUGUUAUUGAAUGUUAACUAAAAAUGGUAGGCUUUCAGCUACUCCAUACAUAUAUUGCUUGCUAGUUCGUUUACGAAUCACAAUGCUUUGAAAAUGAAAGUUCAAUCUCAUUUUAUUUGAGCGGAGCUUUGUCUGUCUGUAUAACAUUGCUUGACGUUCUUGGAUUAGCUGACAAAACCGAUAAAUUCUUAUGAUGUUUUAUCAUUUACAGAUGUCUUACCAGUAUCAUAAAAACACAAGAUAACUUAAAGAAGAAGUUGUGUGAUAUUACAGGGCAGUCUGCGUUACAUAUAAUACAAGAAAAAGUUCAAUUAUAAUUCUUUAUUCGAAUAAAAACAUAACAAGUCAAGCCAGAACGUUCAUAUAAAAAGAAAAUAAAUGAAUAAUAUAAACAACAGAAGCAUUUGAAAUAAUCAAAUUGUAAAACAUAUGCUGCAACAAAAAAAUGAUAUAAUACAAAACGAAUAUAACAUUUUAAUUGCUCUAUCGAAUUAUCGCUUUACUAAGCUGAUCUCCAUCGAUCGUACCACGUUCGUUCCUUAAUUCCUAAUGACUAGCGUGUUUUCCUUAAACUCAAAAAAAGCCAAAACAGACCGUGAUGGCAAAACGAUAACUUAAAUUCCACCGUAUGCGGACGUUUGUGUGUUUGUGAACCGUUGUUGGUUCCUCGGCGUGUGUAAUCUAACGACGCAUUCGCUACUUAAUUUGUUGUGUAUUGGUUCACUUACUUACGCUUAUUACCUAGCACUGUUUUUUCUUGCUUCCGUAGUUUUUUAGAUUUUUUUUACACAUUUAUAUAUAGCAUGCUAAUAUGAUGUAUUUCUCUUUUUUCCUGGGUUGUUACAAUCUAAUCGAUUUCGGCUGUUUCUUCAGUGUUGUGAUCGCUUUUUACACUUGUUGUCCUGUUUCAUUGUAUAUAUAAUGUCUUUGAAUCGAAAAUAUUUAAAAAGCACAUUUCUGUUAUAUUUCAAUGUUAACAUAGUUUUAAAUUUACUUUUCAUUUAAUAUACAAGUGUUACCAACGUUUUUGUUUACUUUUAUUCUUUAAUUUAAUUAAAUCACAGAUAUAAGCCAUCAUUUUUAUGUUCUUCCUCUUUAUAUUCAUAUUGUUUUUUGGUUUUGUUUUUUUUUCUUUGAAAAUUUUUCUUAUAUAUCUUUUGCUAUAAACGAGCAUACUCUAGUUUUUGUAUUUCUUUGUUGUUUUCGAAAAAGAGAGACAGCGAAGAA
Armigeres subalbatus is the source of this 5127-nucleotide long non-coding RNA. RefSeq lists it as uncharacterized. The record is from RefSeq and is a predicted model, not a curated record. Lineage: Eukaryota; Metazoa; Arthropoda; Insecta; Diptera; Culicidae. The transcript is spliced from 2 exons.